This 570-nucleotide ribosomal RNA is filed under the name uncultured eukaryote. RNAcentral describes it as "bacterial SSU rRNA". It matches the Rfam family "Eukaryotic small subunit ribosomal RNA", at positions 4 to 569 of the family's 1831-position model. The record is from RNAcentral.
CUGGUUGAUCCUGCCAGUAGUCAUAUGCUUGUCUCAAAGAUUAAGCCAUGCAUGUCUAAGUGUAAACUUCUACACAGUGAAACUGCGAAUGGCUCAUUAAAUCAGUUAUAGUUUACUUGAUUGUCCCGCUUACUACUUGGAUAACUGUAGUAAUUCUAGAGCUAAUACAUGCAAAAAAUGCCCAACUCUUCGGAAGGGCAGCACUUAUUAGAUAUUCCCAGUAGUCGACUUAGGUCGUCAGCUAGGGUGAUUCGGAGUAAGGACGCAAAUCGCAUAGCCUAGUGCUAGCGAUAAAUCAAUCAAGUUUCUGCCCUAUCAACUUUGGAUGGUAGUGUAUUGGACUACCAUGGUGAUAACGGGUACGGGGAAUUAGGGUUCGAUUCCGGAGAGGGAGCCUGAGAGAUGGCUACCACUUCCAAGGAAGGCAGCAGGCGCGUAAAUUACCCAAUCCCAAUACGGGGAGGUAGUGACAAUACAUAACAAUGUAGGUCUCCUAAGGAGAUUUACAAUUGGAAUGAGUACAACACAAAUCAGUUAACAAGGAUCAACUGGAGGACAAGUCUGGUGCCA